CCAAGUCUCAAAUAUUGAAGAAUCUCUAACCAGGGACACCAGUCCCUACGAAGACCUUGGGCGAUUUUGAAGUGCGGGCACCUCGAUUCCCCGAAUCUGUAGUGUGGCUGGUAUCGGUGUUCCCCUGGUUUAACUAGCCUGUUUGAUGGGGAAAUUGAGGCAGAGAAGCCAAGACAUGUGCUAAAGGUCAUGCAGGCUAUGAAUGGAGCUGGAAUGUGAACGCAGGCCAUAUGACCCCAGAGCCCAUGUUCUUGAACCCUUAGAAAGACAGCAGCAACACACCUGGUGCAGCAGCUGCUUAGUUGGAGUGGCUGACAAGGUUGGCAGAGGAUCCCGUUCCUCCCGUGGAGUGGCUGCCAUGAUACUGCCUGCACUGAAGCUGCUCCUAUUUCUGAAAUAUGUAUUGUUAUUUUUUUCCCUGCAUGUUGAACAUUAUACUCUUCUGUUCUUUCGCA
RNAcentral lists this long non-coding RNA (455 nucleotides) under Homo sapiens (human). RNAcentral describes it as "non-protein coding HAND2-AS1:39". The record is from RNAcentral. Lineage: Eukaryota; Metazoa; Chordata; Mammalia; Primates; Hominidae.